AGUGAACGCUGGCGGUAGGCCUAACACAUGCAAGUCGAACGGCAGCACAGUAAGAGCUUGCUCUUACGGGUGGCGAGUGGCGGACGGGUGAGGAAUACAUCGGAAUCUACUUUUUCGUGGGGGAUAACGUAGGGAAACUUACGCUAAUACCGCAUACGACCUACGGGUGAAAGCAGGGGAUCUUCGGACCUUGCGCGAUUGAAUGAGCCGAUGUCGGAUUAGCUAGUUGGCGGGGUAAAGGCCCACCAAGGCGACGAUCCGUAGCUGGUCUGAGAGGAUGAUCGGCCACACUAGAACUGAGACACGGUCCAGAGUCCUACGGGAGGCAGCAGUGGGGAAUAUUGGACAAUGGGCGCAAGCCUGAUCCAGCCAUACCGCGUGGGUGGAGAAGGCCUUCGGGUUGUAAAGCCCUUUUGUUGGGAAAGAAAAGCAGCAGGUUAAUACCCCGCUGUUCUGACGGUACCCAAAGAAUAAGCACCGGCUAACUUCGUG
RNAcentral lists this ribosomal RNA (492 nucleotides) under uncultured bacterium. Its description in RNAcentral is "partial 16S ribosomal RNA". It matches the Rfam family "Bacterial small subunit ribosomal RNA", at positions 29 to 507 of the family's 1533-position model. The record is from RNAcentral.